RNAcentral lists this long non-coding RNA (3621 nucleotides) under Podarcis lilfordi (Lilford's wall lizard). Lineage: Eukaryota; Metazoa; Chordata; Lepidosauria; Squamata; Lacertidae. The record is from RNAcentral.
CAUUUAUAUUUUGCAUAGUUGUGCUAGUUAAGUAUUAUUAAGGUUACUAAAUGUUAUAUUGUUUUAGGUUGUGCUUUUCUAUGAUCGCUUUCAGUAUAUCUGGUCUACAAAUCAUAACAUCAAAUACAGUACAUACAGUUAUCAAGACAAUACAUGCAUGCACCUUUUAACAUGAGAGUAUAAGAAACUCCAUGAAUAAUCAGAAAGAGUUAUAAAUAGAGAUAAUGUCUAUUGGCAAUUUGGUGCCUGCUAUAGUCAUUCCUUCUAAAAGCUUUAGCUCAGAUUGGUAUCUUUCUAUAAAAGUUACAGUAUAGGAGGACAUGAACCAUUGUUUCAAUUGAGCUGUUUUUGCAAGGGACAAACUGUCAAGUGCCAAGGGCAGCCUGGAAAAUUGACCCUAAAUGCUGAUAGCAAAGCACUGAACCAGCACAUGGAAAUGUUCUUCUGUUACCUAGGGAUAUUCAAAAUUGCUAAAUACCUAGCAAAUCAAUGAUCUCUUUUAGGUUCUAGACUAAAGGACAGUGGUGAAAAAAAAACACCCCCAAUAUGUCAGACUUGACAAAUUUUGCAAGUUAUGAUCUAGAAGCCUCUUUAAUGUAGCUGGUUGCUUUUUCUAACCCAAGUGACAGAAGAUGGUGUUGACUUUGUUGCUGAAUCCAGCAGCAAGUUGAGCUAUCAAGAAAAAGGCCAGGGAUAGGUAGUCAUAAUCUGUUGAGGAUGAAUAUAGACAAAUCCUAUACUGCUGGGGCACCAAAGAUCUCAAAAAAAUAGUUUGUGUCCUCUCCUCUCUUGCGAUUGAUUGAUUGAUUGAUUGAUUGAUUCCUAAUAUGCACACCUGGAUUAUGUACAUAGUUUUGGUAAUUCCUUUGUUUUGGGGGCACCUUCAAACUAAAGGUAUAUGCUCAUCAUCCUUUGCACAGCAGAACCUCAACAAUGCCACUGGAAUAGUCCAUGCACUCAAUGCAAUAUUUUGAAUUCAAAAUGACCAGGAUAGAGUGGACUGAAAAGUAACUCUCAAGUAGUUUCAAUUACUAACUUGUUUUAUGACAUGCCCAUCCAGGGUCCAUUUGUAUGUCUCAUACCCUUUUGUAAAAAAUCAGCCCUUUGUUUUUGUGUUAAAGAAUAAAAAGAAUGAACCUGAAUCCUACUUAAAAGUAAGCCCUGGCUAACAUUACACCUAAUCAAGGGUAAGGCUAGGAGGGCAUGUGGUGGGAAUUAGCUCUAGUAAGGACAGAGGGCCUCCCAAGGUCUAAUGGCCCACCCCUUUAACCAUGAUGGAGGGACUGUAAAUAUCAUGUGUGAAGUAGCUCCAUGUGAUAUUGGCUUUCUAGAUUUCAUAACAAUAUAUAAAUUCUACCCCAAGCAUUUGGAAGAAAUAGCAAUCCCACUGCUUUGCCCUAAUAUGAAAGCACAUCAGAGCAGUUUAGCCGAGACAAGGAAAACAUUUUAAAACAUCACCGAAUGCCUUUAUCAUGGUUUAGAAAACACAUAUGGAUGCUCUUUAAAGCAAUUUUGCCUCAGUUUGCAAUUUGCUGCACAAUUCAAACUCUCUUGUAAUAUCACAUUCAGCUGCUAAAAUAAUAAAAAUGCUAUUCUUUCAUUUCAGUUAAAGCUUUCUUCUGCUUGAGCCUUUGUCACAGUGAUAAAUAGCACUAUUAGGAAGCUUGCAUCUACAGAAGCAACCCCAUCACGAUAUCAUAAAAUAAAAAAGCCAACCAAAAAGAGAGAUAGAGAAGCCUGCAAUCAAAUCCUUGGUAUCAAAAACCAGUUCUGUCAGUAUAUGACAGUGUUAAUCUUCUAGAAUGCAUUCACUUUCCUUAACAAACUAACUCCUCAUUAAUUAAGACAGGUGAAUAGUAAAAUGCUCUGGAUUGAACCAAAAAGGGUGAGGUAUACUUAUUAAAAUUUCUGCAAAUGAUUUGUGAAAUCAGGUGGGUCCAAAUUCGUAAAGCUCACAGUGAUGCUACCCAAAUAUUACAACAUGUCUACAUCUUUGCGCGAAAGAAUGCCUGCAAAAAUUUAAGUAUCUUAAAAAUCAUGCCAUAUAAUCAUAGCUAGGAGGCAAAAGCACAAGAAGCUGUGACUACCAGGGACCUGAGAUCACAGGAGCAGGAGCAUUAGGGGGAAGAAAAGUUUGCAAGCCAUAUGUGCAACCCACACACAGUCCCCUUGUGUAACUUGCACAUAUGUUUUUCUGUACAGAAUCUUGCUAGAAGAAAUCAACAACUCCAUCUUAUGGGUUGGUUAAAAAAAAAAAAUUAGUUGCUGUGGUUGCAGAUUAUUAAGUUGCUAAUUAACUUGAACAUUUGAUGGCUAUAUUUCAAAAGGUGGCAUUCAAGUUCAUCUUCUACUCUAACCAAAUGGCCUGGUUAGAUGGCUAUUGAGCAGUGUCAUGCUUUGCAUGGUGUGUGUUUUUUUAAGAAACAUGUUUGUUGCUAUUUGGUUGAACACAUGCUGUGAAAGUGCUAACUUCCAAACAUAGUCUCAGGCUACUUUCAGACUACACUAUUUUGUAGAUGAUACUCAGUACUCUGCCAGCAAAUUUUGUGCAAUUAAAGCAAAUUUGGCCCUCUUGCAUACAACAACAUUUCUGUGGUCAGAAAAGUGACAGGAAAAUGAACUGGAAAGUGUGGGAUGACAGCAAUGUCAUAUUACCUCUAAGCAACCAAAGCGGAAUGAAUGCUCAAUGAGCAACUUGUCUGGAAGAGCCCUAAAACUAGAAACCAGUUGAAAGAUGCAUGUAGUCCCUGAGGUGUUCAACAUUGCUUUUGUUUCAAAAAGUCUAACCAUGAGGGGUCAUAACCUUCUACUUGUUCCUUCAAGCUGAUGAUCGAUUGAGUCCUACCACGCCACAUCCAUCUCUUUCCCAUCUACUCAACAACUGCAAUUAGUUAAUAUUGUCUGCUUCUUCAUUCAUGUGUUCCACUUAAUCCAUCAAUGUGAUUGCUAAUGCGGCUCCGUAGAUGCCAAAGAAUAAUCAGGGAUGGAUAUUAUUAUGGCAUGCUCUAUAGUUGAAAAUGCGAGGGAAAUGUUGCUGAAUGAGGACUGGCUAUGGAAGAGGAAAAAUAAGAGCGCCAACUUCCCGAGGGGAAUAAUUUGCAUAGCAGGUGCUAGUUUUAUGAUGUGAGUCUGAAUUGAUCAUCUAAAAAUAUAUCGUUGUUUUAACUUUUAUAUCACAUAGAAGCCUGCCAAAUGCUCUAACAGCCUGGAUUGCAUUCCCUAUUGGGCUUUUAGACCAAAAGACCAACAGACAACAUAAGUUGGGCUUAGGUUAUGUUAAGAUAUAGCAAAUGCAAAUGUGAGGCAUUAAUUGCCACACUCAACCCACCAGUCAUUUCACCCAGAACUUCUCAGCAGAAAUACUGCACAGCCCUCUUCCACAAGUUCAUAAAAUAUUCAAUAUACAAAUCAGAUCAUUUUGAAGUGAAAAGGUAAAAAACCACCACCACCAAAUCUAUACUUGGUGGCAGAAAAACAGCUCUCAACCCCAAAAACCUUCAGAUUUAAAAUAAAGUAUAAAAUAUGGUUAUCAGCUAAACUGGCUUUUCUAAAGAUUUCACUUUAUUCUAGCUGUUAGAAAUGGUCUGAUAAGCAACUUCAAUUUAUUAAUAACAGGGUUUU